This 1106-nucleotide ribosomal RNA is filed under the name uncultured bacterium. RNAcentral's name for it is "bacterial SSU rRNA". It matches the Rfam family "Bacterial small subunit ribosomal RNA", at positions 1 to 1104 of the family's 1533-position model. The record is from RNAcentral.
GGAUCCAGACUUUGAUCAUGGCUCAGAGUGAACGCUGGCGGCGUGCCUAAUACAUGCAAGUCGAACGCGAAAGUCCUUCGGGAUGAGUAAAGUGGCGCACGGGUGAGUAAUGGUUGAGAACAUGCCCUGAGGUGGGGAAUAACAGUUGGAAACGACUGCUAAUACCGCAUGGAAUCGAAAGAUUAAAGGUGGGGACCGCAAGGCCUACCGCCACAGGAUUGGCUCAACUCCCAUUAGCUAGUUGGCAGGGUAACGGCCUACCAAGGCAACGAUGGGUAUGUGGUCUUAGAGGAUGGUCACACACACUGGAACUGAGACACAGUCCAGACUCCUACGGGAGGCAGCAGUAGGGAAUAUUGCACAAUGGAGGAAACUCUGAUGCAGCAACGCCGCGUGAGCGAAGAAGGCCCUUGGGUCGUAAAGCUCUUUAGCCUGGAAAGAAGUGCCUGUAAGUGAAUAACGUGCAGGUGUGACGGUACCAGGAGAAUAAGGACCGGCUAAUUUCGUGCCAGCAGCCGCGGUAAUACGAAAGGUCCAAGCGUUACUCGGAAUUACUGGGCGUAAAGCGCGCGUAGGCGGCUUUGUAUGUCGAUUGUGAAAGCCCCGGGCUCAACCUGGGAACUGCAGUCGAAACUGCAAAGCUUGAAUGUUGGAGAGGUUGGGGGAAUACCUAGUGGAGAAGUGAAAUUCGUAGAGAUUAGGUGGAACACCAGAGGCGAAGGCGCCUGACUGGCCAAACAUUGACGCUGAGGCGCGAAAGCGUGGGUAGCAAACAGGAUUAGAUACCCUGGUAGUCCACGCCGUAAACGAUGGACACUAGCCGUUCGAAGCAUUAACCCUUUGAGUGGCAAAGCUAACGCAUUAAGUGUCCCGCCUGGGAAGUACGGUCGCAAGACUAAAACUCAAAGGAAUUGACGGGGGCCCGCACAAGCGGUGGAGUAUGUGGUUUAAUUCGACGCAACGCGCAGAACCUUACCUGGUCUUGACAUCGCGAGAUCGCUGCAGAGAUGUAGCUUUACCUUCGGGUACUCGUAGACAGGUGCUGCAUGGCUGUCGUCAGCUCGUGUUGUGAAAUGUUCGGUUAAGUCCGGCAACGAGCGCAACCC